Long non-coding RNA from Nematostella vectensis (starlet sea anemone), 1102 nucleotides. RefSeq lists it as uncharacterized. The record is from RefSeq and is a predicted model, not a curated record. The transcript is spliced from 2 exons. NCBI's taxonomy places the organism in Eukaryota, Metazoa, Cnidaria, Anthozoa, Actiniaria, Edwardsiidae.
CGGAGAACCAUUGCCUCUGAAUUAAAAGAUCUUGGCCUCAGUUGGGGACAUGCACAGUACCUUGCCCGCAACCGUCGAGAAUGGAGACGAACUAUACUGUCCUUAUGUCACACCAGGGAUGAUGAGGCCUAACCUCCAGGCAUACAGGAAUGGAUUGACUGCAGCAUUUAGAUUGAUGAGCAUUCCCAUGACAUAGUAGCACAAUACUAAAAUAUGGAACUGCGAGCGGCAUGGAGCGCAUGCGUAGAAAACAACUUGAGUCAAAGUCCACGGGACGAAACAAGUCUUAAAGACAGUCAGCACUGUCAAGAUCGCUCGGGUCACCUUUCGCUCGCGCUCGAGGACCAAUCGGACAGUCGUCGCCGAAGAUUUGAAUCUCUGAACUCGCUUUGCUUGUCGGUGAACAAAGAACAAUAUGAAGGAAUAAAAUACUUGGAUUAUGAGUAUAACCAGCAUUAUUUGUAUAGUGAAACCAGGCCUAGAGCAUAUCGGGCGCUUAGGAACCCCACCAUUAAUGCAAAAGCCACGGAGUAAAGCCAUAUCCCGACGGCUGCGAGUUUAGCGCGUCGUGGUGUCAUUAUAGUCGAGUACUUAUUUGGACGCGCGACAGCCAUCAGUCAAUCAACACAAAGACCAAGAAUUUGCAACACAGAGCUUGUUACGAGCCAGAAGCACAACCCAUUAUAUGCGUGCUCUAGAUUAUAGACUACAUUAUUUCCGAAAAAGUGACCGGCAGCGGACACGGGGCUGUAGACUAGUCCUAUUAGAAAGGUCACUGGCGGCCACGCUACAUAUCAGUGGGUUUUUUGGCAAGUGCCUAAGAUGUCUCAAAGGGUCUCUCACCGCAGCCGCUAUGACGAAUGUGUCUCCCACGAUGUUGAACGGCGCAAUGACGAUUAUAAGAAUCCCUUACACAAAAUUCAAUGACGGAUAAUGUUUGUUGAAGGUAACACGAGCGAUUACUGCUCCGUGUGUGCUGCUUUCGUCCCAUAAACUAAAGUUUUUUGUUAAUAGCCUCCAUCUUGAUGAUAACAAUUCACGUGAGGUUCAGUCGAAGUUUUGUUAUUAGAAUCGAAUGCGUAAUAUGGUUUCUUUAACCUUG